RNAcentral lists this ribosomal RNA (505 nucleotides) under uncultured bacterium. RNAcentral's name for it is "bacterial SSU rRNA". It matches the Rfam family "Bacterial small subunit ribosomal RNA", at positions 501 to 1008 of the family's 1533-position model. The record is from RNAcentral.
CUACGUGCCAGCAGCCGCGGUAAUACGGAAGGUCCGGGCGUUAUCCGGAUUUAUUGGGUUUAAAGGGAGCGUAGGCUGGAGAUUAAGUGUGUUGUGAAAUGUAGACGCUCAACGUCUGACUUGCAGCGCAUACUGGUUUCCUUGAGUACGCACAACGUUGGCGGAAUUCGUCGUGUAGCGGUGAAAUGCUUAGAUAUGACGAAGAACUCCGAUUGCGAAGGCAGCUGACGGGAGCGCAACUGACGCUGAAGCUCGAAGGUGCGGGUAUCGAACAGGAUUAGAUACCCUGGUAGUCCGCACAGUAAACGAUGGAUGCCCGCUGUUGGUACCUGGUAUCAGCGGCUAAGCGAAAGCAUUAAGCAUCCCACCUGGGGAGUACGCCGGCAACGGUGAAACUCAAAGGAAUUGACGGGGGCCCGCACAAGCGGAGGAACAUGUGGUUUAAUUCGAUGAUACGCGAGGAACCUUACCCGGGCUUGAAUUGCAGAGGAAGUAUUUAGAGAUA